Molecule: long non-coding RNA, 755 nt
Organism: Malaya genurostris
Lineage: Eukaryota; Metazoa; Arthropoda; Insecta; Diptera; Culicidae
Exons: 2
Source: RefSeq, a predicted model, not a curated record
AAUACUUUUGAUCGUGUAAUGGAAAAUUCAUUGGAUUGACGAAAAUAUUGUCAAAAAAUCAAAAGCGGCCCUUACACGUGACAAUAUUAUUGUCAAUCCAAAGAAUUGUCAAUACCGUCAAUCCAAUUGGCUUGGUAACUGCAGUCUGCGUUUUUCAAACAAAUCAAGCGUUUGGAGCUUCAAAUAUUGCAACUGAACAUUGAAAUUCGCGACCUAGAAGGAACAGUGCUGCUAUCUACGAAAGUUUAAUCUGUGUGUGAAGUGAAUGCAAACAAAGUAGGGUACUUUUUCACUCAAGUAAAAUUAGUUCAUUCUCUGUUUGCUCAAUUGAUUUUCUUGUGCGUUGAAGUACUAAAAACAUUAAACGACUCCUAUUCAGUCAUUAAAACAUAUUUUGCGGUACAUCAUUGCUCGUAUUUCGUGAGUAAAAAGCGAGAAAAAACUCCUCUUCCGGCACUAGUAAUCCACAUAGGUCAUGGAUCUGAAAAGUUGCUCGAAUGGACUUGCAAAAACAUUUCAUGACAGUGUUUCUUAUACUGAUGAGAACAGUGUGUUAUGUUCCAGAUUGAGUAUACCGAUUUAAUCCUUCCCAAACAAGUAAAAUGAACAAUACAUAACAUGGAUUCAACGAUUCAGAGUUAAGUCAACGAAAACUGCUUGGGUGCAUGUGUGUCGUCAAUUUGUAAACUGGUAUAUUUAUGUAUAUUAAAUUUAUUCAUCUGACAAUAAAACAUAAUUAAUAAAUAAAUGUCAAA